GAUGAACGCUGGCGGCGUGCCUAAUACAUGCAAGUAGAACGCUGAAGGAAGGAGCUUGCUCUUUCCGGAUGAGUUGCGAACGGGUGAGUAACGCGUAGGUAACCUGCCUGGUAGCGGGGGAUAACUAUUGGAAACGAUAGCUAAUACCGCAUAACAGUAGAUGUUGCAUGAUAUCUACUUAAAAGGUGCAAUUGCACCACUACCAGAUGGACCUGCGUUGUAUUAGCUAGUUGGUGAGGUAACGGCUCACCAAGGCGACGAUACAUAGCCGACCUGAGAGGGUGAGCGGCCACACUGGGACUGAGACACGGCCCAGACGCCUACGGGAGGCAGCAGUAGGGAAUCUUCGGCAAUGGACGGAAGUCUGACCGAGCAACGCCGCGUGAGUGAAGAAGGUUUUCGGAUCGUAAAGCUCUGUUGUAAGAGAAGAACGAGUGUGAGAGUGGAAAGUUCACACUGUGACGGUAUCUUACCAGAAAGGGACGGCUAACUACGUG
RNAcentral lists this ribosomal RNA (497 nucleotides) under uncultured bacterium. RNAcentral's name for it is "partial 16S ribosomal RNA". It matches the Rfam family "Bacterial small subunit ribosomal RNA", at positions 28 to 507 of the family's 1533-position model. The record is from RNAcentral.